RNAcentral lists this ribosomal RNA (832 nucleotides) under Chaetomium cirrhata. RNAcentral's name for it is "eukaryotic LSU rRNA". It matches the Rfam family "Eukaryotic large subunit ribosomal RNA", at positions 66 to 931 of the family's 3401-position model. The record is from RNAcentral. Lineage: Eukaryota; Fungi; Ascomycota; Sordariomycetes; Sordariales; Chaetomiaceae.
CAACAGGGAUUGCCCUAGUAACGGCGAGUGAAGCGGCAACAGCUCAAAUUUGAAAUCUGGCUUCGGCCCGAGUUGUAAUUUGCAGAGGAAGCUUUAGGCGCGGCACUUUCUGAGUCCCCUGGAACGGGGCGCCAUAGAGGGUGAGAGCCCCGUAUAGUUAGAUGCCUAGCCUGUGUAAAGCUCCUUCGACGAGUCGAGUAGUUUGGGAAUGCUGCUCAAAAUGGGAGGUAAAUUUCUUCUAAAGCUAAAUACCGGCCAGAGACCGAUAGCGCACAAGUAGAGUGAUCGAAAGAUGAAAAGCACUUUGAAAAGAGGGUUAAAUAGCACGUGAAAUUGUUGAAAGGGAAGCGCUUGUGACCAGACUUGCGCCGGGCAGAUCAUCCGGUGUUCUCACCGGUGCACUCUGCCCGGCUCAGGCCAGCAUCGGUUCUCGCGGGGGGAUAAAGGCCCUGGGAACGUAGCUCCUCCGGGAGUGUUAUAGCCCGGGGCGUAAUGCCCUCGCGGGGACCGAGGUUCGCGCAUCUGCAAGGAUGCUGGCGUAAUGGUCAUCAGCGACCCGUCUUGAAACACGGACCAAGGAGUCAAGGUUUUGCGCGAGUGUUUGGGUGUAAAACCCGCACGCGUAAUGAAAGUGAACGUAGGUGAGAGCUUCGGCGCAUCAUCGACCGAUCCUGAUGUUUUCGGAUGGAUUUGAGUAGGAGCGUUAAGCCUUGGACCCGAAAGAUGGUGAACUAUGCUUGGAUAGGGUGAAGCCAGAGGAAACUCUGGUGGAGGCUCGCAGCGGUUCUGACGUGCAAAUCGAUCGUCAAAUCUGAGCAUGGGGGCGAAAGAC